RNAcentral lists this long non-coding RNA (974 nucleotides) under Monodelphis domestica (gray short-tailed opossum). Its description in RNAcentral is "lncRNA (ENSMODG00000031130.2)". Lineage: Eukaryota; Metazoa; Chordata; Mammalia; Didelphimorphia; Didelphidae. The record is from RNAcentral.
AACAUAAUAUAAUAUAUAACAACAUAACAUGACAUGACAUAUAAUAUGAUGGAUAGGAUAGGAUAGGAUAGGAUAGGAUAGGAUAGGAUAGAAUAGAAUAGAAUAGAAUAGAAUAGAAUAGAAUAGAAUAGAAUAGAAUAGAAUAGAAUAGAAUAGAAUAGAAUAGAAUAGAAUAGAAUAGAAUAGAAUAGAAUAGAAUAGAAUAGAAUAGAAUAGAAUGUGUUAAGGUGAAGAGAAACCCUGUAAGGAUGGUAUAAACUGGUGACCAGGAUUUUGCAGAACCUCAUCAGACAGGGUAGUCUCUUCAAAGCCAGAGAGCAAAAAUGGCUGCCCUCUCUGCCCCAGGCCAAGAACCAGACCAUCUUUAAAGUCUUGCAUUUUCUUGACGAUGUCUUCAGUGGUGCUUUUGCAGGCAAGUCUUUAUUCAUAUCCUAGUCAUAGGAAUUGUAUCUAAAUUUUAUGCUGCAUGGUAACUAUAUCACUGUGUGUGCUCUUUGAACCACUUGCAAAUUAGAUUCCUCUAGAUCAUUCACUGUGUGUGCUCUUUGAACUGCUUGCAAAUUAGAUUCCUCUAGAUCAUUAUUCCCAUAACUUGGAGCCAUAUACCAUGGCUAAAAGAAUAUUAAUAUUUUUAAACCCUUACUUUCCAUCUUAGAAUCAAUAUGGAAUAUUGGUUCCAAGACAAAAGAGUGGUAAAGGCUAGGCAAUGGGGGUUAAGUGACUUACCCAAGGUCACACAACUAGUAAGUGUCUGAGGACAGAUUUGAACCCAGGACAUCCCAUCUCUAGGUCUGACUAUCAAUCUUCUGAGCCACCUAGAUGGCCCCUAGAAUACUGGUCUUAAAGAGAUUCAGUUUUAGUAGCAAGGAAUAAUCUUGAGAUUAUCAAAAGCACAGUACACUUUCCAUUGUGGCUCCAAGAAGCUAUAGCAUGCAAAGCAGCCACACUCAGGUAAACCAUCACCUCAGUGGCUA